CAGGAUUAGGCCAAAGCACUCACAACCGCCUGACAACAACAUGAACAGAUAUGCCAAAAAUACAAAGAGUUAAGGAUUUUCUAAAAGGUUGAAAGAGCGACAGUAUAACUUUGGUAUUCAUUUGCAAAAGGCGUAGCUGGGAGAGCAGCUGGCAUUCACUAGCUCUCCAAGGCAACCUGCCAAAUUAUAACGUGCCUUUCCCAAUUAGGCACUGAACUCAGCAAAAGAAAAAAAAAGUUUCAAGCCAGAAAAACAUAGGAACUCCUGUUAUCCAGCCAGCAGACGACCUCAGAAACCACUGAGACAGCAGAACACAGAUACGGCUCAGAAGAACUGGCUGAAACUGCCUGCUUAUCAGAGGAACACAAACACAAAACCUUCGUCUUACUACAUCACGGACAAGGAUAUAUCUUCAUGAUCUCCUGCUCUGGAAGAAUGGAACCCUCCUAUCACUUCUCAGUACUCUCAUCAAUUUUUAACACU
Numida meleagris (helmeted guineafowl) is the source of this 483-nucleotide long non-coding RNA. RefSeq lists it as uncharacterized. The transcript is spliced from 5 exons. The record is from RefSeq and is a predicted model, not a curated record. Lineage: Eukaryota; Metazoa; Chordata; Aves; Galliformes; Numididae.